CCCAGGGCGUGAACGGGGCGUGUCAUCCCUGGAGUUUCAGUAGAAUUUCAGGCCUGUCUGCUUGAGCAGCAGAGGAGGAGUUUCUGUGUGCCUGUGAGAGACUGUGUGUGUGUGUGUGUGUGUGUGUGUGUGUGAGAUGAAUGAACAGGGUUGUGUACGUGUGUGUGCGUUAGACAAAUGAACAGUGUUGUGUACCUGUGUGAAUUGUCACUGUGACUCCAGGCUCUAGGCUCUGCAGAUUCCUCAGCCCUAUCGCCUCACAGACACUUGGGAUGUGCAGCAGGUAAAAGAGAGAAGCCAGAUUCAUGGAGGCGUGAAGGAUCCCAGCAAGAAAACACAGACUUGAUCUUGAGACGAGAUUUUUGAAAUUGGUUGCGGCCUCAAGGCAGGCUCUGAGAAGACUCGAUAAAGAGUUCUCAGGAAUAGGCAUCCCUCCUGGAUAUUUCCCCCUUGGAAGCGCCGAGGAGCCAGCUCUAUGUUUGUAACCAUAGCAUUUCUAAAGCUCCAGCCCCAGGAACCUGCUGUGAAUUAGAGACAGAUUCCACCCUAGGCAUCACUGAUCUUGGCCUCUCUUGUAUUGGGAAGGUCAACACUGUUCCAGUUUCUCUCCUACUCCCAUCUGGUUGUGCUCGGUGAAGUAGGUGAGCAGGUAUGAUCAUUGAGGGUAUUUUCUAAGUUACUGUGCUAUCCAAGAAACCCCAGCUGUCUCAUGAUUGCCUUCUCUUUUCCAGUGCUACCCUUCUGUUAAAAAAAAAAAAAAAAAAAAGAUCCUGAAAGAGGAAAGAAUUUUUGCUACACAUCUGAAAGCUAAAGUCCAGGUGAUGCCUUGAUUACCUAGCUUUGGCUUCUCUGAACUCUGC
This 860-nucleotide long non-coding RNA is filed under the name Homo sapiens (human). Its description in RNAcentral is "non-protein coding lnc-ZNF404-1:4". The record is from RNAcentral. Lineage: Eukaryota; Metazoa; Chordata; Mammalia; Primates; Hominidae.